Molecule: long non-coding RNA, 530 nt
Filed under: Salvia miltiorrhiza (redroot sage)
Lineage: Eukaryota; Viridiplantae; Streptophyta; Magnoliopsida; Lamiales; Lamiaceae
Description: long non-coding RNA (SMIL_LNC006908)
Source: RNAcentral
AAGGGUCCAAGAAAAACACAGACGCCCAUAUAUAUAAAAGGCAAGAAUGCAAAAAACCAGCAAAUUAAACCUCUUCAUUUUCUUCCCCUUCUUCACCAUUAAUUCUUCCUUCCAUUUUUGAAACCCCUUUUAAUUACAGAAUCACGAGGGAGCGUCGGCGCGUGUCACUCCACCGCCACCACACACAUAUAUAUAUGUAUGUAUGUAUUGUCUCUCUCUGUUUAACAUUAUAUAAACAGAAGAAUAAUACCAACAAAAGUUAAACAUCAAAUUCAAUUCUCCAUCCCUCUCUCUCACAUCGAGUAUAUAUAUAUAUAUAUAGUGAGAGAGAGAGAGAGAGUGGAGAUUGGUGGAAGAAAAAUGGCGAUAUGGGGGAGUCUCACACACUACCUUUCCUUGAAAACGAAGAAAACCAAUCUCUACUACAUGGUUGUAACCACCGUGCUCUGCUCCCUCUUCUACCUAAUCGGAAUCUGGCAGCACGGCGGCGCCGCCGCGGACUCGGCCGCCACCUCGCUCCUCCCCUCCGU